GCUUCCUUAGCACAAUGGUAGUGCGUCCGGCUUGUCAGUAACCCUAAUAUCAUGACCAUUAAAGAAUCCCUUACUAACAUCAGAACAGUUAACCGGAAGGUUGCGGGUUCGACCCCCGUGGGUAGCG
RNAcentral lists this transfer RNA (127 nucleotides) under Penicillium arizonense. It matches the Rfam family "tRNA". From Rfam's summary of the family: Transfer RNA (tRNA) molecules are approximately 80 nucleotides in length. Their secondary structure includes four short double-helical elements and three loops (D, anti-codon, and T loops). Lineage: Eukaryota; Fungi; Ascomycota; Eurotiomycetes; Eurotiales; Aspergillaceae. The record is from Rfam by way of RNAcentral.